This 134-nucleotide small RNA is filed under the name Pseudomonas sp. 2848. RNAcentral's name for it is "Pseudomonas sRNA P14". It matches the Rfam family "Pseudomonas sRNA P14". Lineage: Bacteria; Pseudomonadati; Pseudomonadota; Gammaproteobacteria; Pseudomonadales; Pseudomonadaceae. The record is from RNAcentral.
UUUCACAGUUCGUUUACAAACCCCGUCGCCGGAGGCCUUGGCAGCAUUUUUUUUGCAGUUCUUGCGCUCAGUCAGUUUACUUACUACAAGUAAUGGGUACUAUGUACGCCGGCCAGUUUCUCUUUUCCGAGAGA